Molecule: ribosomal RNA, 253 nt
Filed under: uncultured bacterium
Lineage: Bacteria
Description: partial 16S ribosomal RNA
Rfam family: Bacterial small subunit ribosomal RNA
Source: RNAcentral
UACGGAGGAUGCAAGCGUUAUCCGGAAUGAUUGGGCGUAAAGCGUCUGUAGGUGGCUGGGCAAGUCUGCUGUCAAAGACCGGGGCUUAACUUCGGAAAGGCAGUGGAAACUGAACAGCUAGAGUAUGGUAGGGGAAGAGGGAAUUCCUGGUGUAGUGGUGAAAUGCGUAGAGAUCAGGAAGAACACCGGUGGCGAAGGCGGUCUGCUGGGCAGUUGCUGACACUGAGGCGCGAAAGCGUGGGGAGCAAACAGG